GACGAACGCUGGCGGCGUGCCUAAUACAUGCAAGUCGAACGAAGCUGUUUUAACUGGUGCUUGCACCGACUUAACAACUGAGUGGCGAACGGGUGAGUAACACGUGGGUAACCUGCCCCAAAGCGGGGGAUAACAUUUGGAAACAGAUGCUAAUACCGCAUAACCACAGAAACCACAUGGUUUCUGUGUCAAAGAUGGUUUCGGCUAUCACUUUGGGAUGGACCCGCGGCGUAUUAGCUAGUUGGUAAGGUAAUGGCUUACCAAGGCAAUGAUACGUAGCCGAACUGAGAGGUUGAUCGGCCACAUUGGAACUGAGACACGGCCCAAACUCCUACGGGAGGCAGCAGUAGGGAAUCUUCCACAAUGGACGAAAGUCUGAUGGAGCAACGCCGCGUGAGUGAAGAAGGUUUUCGGAUCGUAAAACUCUGUUGUCAGAGAAGAACGUGUGCGAGAGUAACUGUUCGUGCAGUGACGGUAUCUGGCCAGAAAGCCACGGCUAACUACGUGCCAGCCGCCGCGGUAA
RNAcentral lists this ribosomal RNA (523 nucleotides) under uncultured bacterium. Its description in RNAcentral is "partial 16S ribosomal RNA". It matches the Rfam family "Bacterial small subunit ribosomal RNA", at positions 28 to 523 of the family's 1533-position model. The record is from RNAcentral.